CGUACUUUUAAAUAAGUCAAAACUUUCAACAACGGAUCUCUUGGUUCUGGCAUCGAUGAAGAACGCAGCGAAAUGCGAUAAGUAAUGUGAAUUGCAGAAUUCAGUGAAUCAUCGAAUCUUUGAACGCACAUUGCGCCCAUUAGUACUCUAGUGGGCAUGCCUGUUCGAGCGUCAUUACGACCCUUAAGCCUAGCUUAGUAUUGGGAACCUACGUGCGGCAGCUACCCUGUAGCUACCCUGUAGCUCCUUAAAGACAACGGCGGAGACGUGGAGUCCUCUGAGCUUAGUAAACUUUUUCUAGCUUCUGAAGGCGCCGCGGCCCCUGCCGUAAAACCCCCCAACUCUUUAGUGGUUGACCUCGGAUCAGGUAGGAAUACCCGCUGAACUUAAGCAUAUCAAUAAGCGGAGGAAAAGAAACCAACAGGGAUUGCCUUAGUAACGGCGAGUGAAGCGGCAACAGCUCAAAUUUGAAAGCUGGCCUUCGGGUCCGCGUUGUAAUUUGUAGAGGAUGCUUUUGGUUAGGUGCCUUACGAGUUCCCUGGAACGGGACGCCUUAGAGGGUGAGAGCCCCGUACGUUUGGUUACCGAGCCUCUGUAAAGCUCCUUCGACGAGUCGAGUAGUUUGGGAAUGCUGCUCUAAAUGGGAGGUAAAUUUCUUCUAAAGCUAAAUACCGGCCAGAGACCGAUAGCGCACAAGUAGAGUGAUCGAAAGAUGAAAAGCACUUUGAAAAGAGGGUUAAAUAGCACGUGAAAUUGUUGAAAGGGAAGCGUUUAUGACCAGACUUUUUCCUGGCGGAUCAUCCGGUGUUCUCACCGGUGCACUUC
This 825-nucleotide ribosomal RNA is filed under the name Sordariomycetes sp. RNAcentral's name for it is "eukaryotic LSU rRNA". The stretch from base 354 to 825 matches the Rfam family "Eukaryotic large subunit ribosomal RNA", at positions 1 to 478 of the family's 3401-position model. The record is from RNAcentral. Lineage: Eukaryota; Fungi; Ascomycota; Sordariomycetes.